CAUGCAGUCGAACGAGAGAGCGGGCUUCGGCCCGUGAUCUAGUGGCAGACGGCUGAGUAACACGUGAGGAACUUGCCCUCCGGUGGGGGACAACCACGGGAAACCGUGGCUAAUACCGCAUAACGUCGCAUUCUCUAAGGGGUGUGACCAAAGGUUUUGAUCGCCGGAGGAGAGUCUCGCGGCCUAUCAGCUAGUUGGUGAGGUAACGGCCCACCAAGGCAUCGACGGGUAGCCGGUCUGAGAGGACGAUCGGUCAGAGGGGGACUGAGACACGGCCCCCACUCCUACGGGAGGCAGCAGCAGGGAAUCUUGCGCAAUGGGCGAAAGCCUGACGCAGCGACGCCGCGUGGGGGAUGAAGGCUCUAGGGUUGUAAACCCCUUUUGCUGGGGAAGAAGAUCUGACGGUACCCAGCGAAUAAGGCCCGGCCAACUACGUGCCAGCAGCCGCGGUAAAACGUAGGGGCCAAGCGUUGUCCGGAAUUAUUGGGCGUAAAGGGUGCGUAGGCGGCCCGGUAAGUCUCUUGUGAAAGCUCCCGGCCCAACCGGGAGAGGUCAGGGGAUACUGCUGGGCUUGAGGAUAGCAGGGGAAGGUGGAAUUCCCGGUGUAGCGGUGAUAUGCGUAGAUAUCGGGAGGAACACCUGUGGCGAAAGCGACCUUCUGGGCUAUUUCUGGCGCUGAGGCACGAGAGCGUGGGGAGCGAACCGGAUUAGAUACCCGGGUAGUCCACGCCCUAAACGAUGAGUGCUAGGUAUGGGGGGUAUCGACCCCCUCCGUGCCGUAGCUAACGCAUUAAGCACUCCGCCUGGGGAGUACGGCCGCAAGGCUAAAACUCAAAGGAAUUGACGGGGGCCCGCACAAGCAGCGGAGCGUGUGGUU
RNAcentral lists this ribosomal RNA (877 nucleotides) under uncultured bacterium. Its description in RNAcentral is "bacterial SSU rRNA". It matches the Rfam family "Bacterial small subunit ribosomal RNA", at positions 54 to 946 of the family's 1533-position model. The record is from RNAcentral.